CUUCCGUAGGGUGAACCUGCGGAAGGAUCAUUAAUUAUGUUAAAGCGCCUUACCUUAGGGUUUCCUCUGGGGUAAGUGAUUGCUUCUACACUGUGAAAAUUUGGCUGAGAGACUCAGACUGGUCAUGGGUAGACCUAUCUGGGGUUUGAUCGAUGCCACUCCUGGUUUCAGGAGCACCCUUCAUAAUAAACCUAGAAAUUCAGUAUUAUAAAGUUUAAUAAAAAACAACUUUUAACAAUGGAUCUCUUGGUUCUCGCAUCGAUGAAGAACGUAGCAAAGUGCGAUAACUAGUGUGAAUUGCAUAUUCAGUGAAUCAUCGAGUCUUUGAACGCAGCUUGCACUCUAUGGUUUUUCUAUAGAGUACGCCUGCUUCAGUAUCAUCACAAACCCACACAUAACAUUUGUUUAUGUGGUAAUGGGUCGCAUCGCUGUUUUAUUACAGUGAGCACCUAAAAUGUGUGUGAUUUUCUGUCUGGCUUGCUAGGCAGGAAUAUUACGCUGGUCUCAGGAUCUUUUUCUUUGGUUCGCCCAGGAAGUAAAGUACAAGAGUAUAAUCCAGCCAACCUUUCAAACUAUGAUCUGAAGUCAGGUGGGAUUACCCGCUGAACUUAAGCAUAUCAAUAAGCGGAGGAA
This 633-nucleotide ribosomal RNA is filed under the name Rhizopus sp. BAB-4798. Its description in RNAcentral is "eukaryotic LSU rRNA". The stretch from base 227 to 380 matches the Rfam family "5.8S ribosomal RNA". Lineage: Eukaryota; Fungi; Mucoromycota; Mucoromycetes; Mucorales; Rhizopodaceae. The record is from RNAcentral.